Molecule: ribosomal RNA, 440 nt
Filed under: uncultured bacterium
Lineage: Bacteria
Description: bacterial SSU rRNA
Rfam family: Bacterial small subunit ribosomal RNA
Source: RNAcentral
CCUACGGGGGGCUGCAGUAGGGAAUAUUGGACAAUGGGUGCAAGCCUGAUCCAGCCAUGCCGCGUGCAGGAAGAAGGCCUUCUGGGUUGUAAACUGCUUUUGCCAGGGGAUAAAAAGUCCCUGCGGGGAAAAUUGAAGGUACCUGGUGAAUAAGCCACGGCUAACUACGUGCCAGCAGCCGCGGUAAUACGUAGGUGGCAAGCGUUGUCCGGAUUUAUUGGGUUUAAAGGGUGCGUAGGCGGUCUAUUAAGUCAGUGCUGAAAUAUUCCCGCUCAACGGGAAGGGUGGCAUUGAUACUGAUGGACUUGAGUGCAGUCGAGGUAGGCGGAAUUGACGGUGUAGCGGUGAAAUGCUUAGAUAUCGUCAAGAACACCGAUAGUGUAGACAGCUUACUAGGCUGUAACUGACGCUGAGGCACGAAAGUGUGGGGAUCAAACAGG